RNAcentral lists this long non-coding RNA (1141 nucleotides) under Equus caballus (horse). Its description in RNAcentral is "lncRNA (ENSECAG00000051070.1)". Lineage: Eukaryota; Metazoa; Chordata; Mammalia; Perissodactyla; Equidae. The record is from RNAcentral.
UCCUGGUCUGACAAGUCAUUCCGCCUUUGCUCUGGGCCACGGUCUUACUACCUUGAAACCGAUGCUUCUCCAUAGCCUGAUCAGCAGAUCGGAAGAGUAAGAGAGGCAGAUCCUUCCUCUUCUACCACCAGAGCUCCGUCAGUGGAAAAUGUGUUCCAGGCCUCCGGGUUUGUCCCUUAGCAACAGUGCCCAUGUACUUGGAAUCCUUUCUACCCCUCCUCAUUGGUCCCUGGGAUCCCCAGUGAUCGCCAGACUCUGCUGAACUCCCCCAUUACCUGGUCACUUGCCUCUGUCUCCCCAUUCCUGCAGCCUCCCGGGAACCAGCAUAACAGCCCCCUUGAACACCUGCCCUCCACUGGAAGACUAAGAGAAUCAUUUCUUUAAGCUGGAGGAGAUCUUGGAGAUCAUCUGACGGAAGAACCGGGAGAGCCACAGUGACUUCCAUGACAUCAGAGAGCUAUUAUAGCUGCAAAGCCAGCAUAAGAACCUUACUCUCCCAUCUCUUGAUGCCACCUCCAUGGCUUCUCUGUGUCUAGCCCAGGGGCAGCAGGUACAAUUGGCUUCCCAAAGAAGGUUUUCAAAAAUUUCACGUAUUAGCAUUUGAACUCCAGGCCACUCUAAAAGGUAAUGUUUAAACCCACCUGGUGCCUUUAUUUCCCAGGUGGAAAUAAUUUGAAUGCUUCCUUGUCUUGACUCAUCUUUAUCCAUGCAUGUACAUGAUUUUUACCUCGUGUAAUCGGUACACACGCUUCUCAAGCUGCUUGAGUUUCAUUUGAAUGAUCACGUGUAAACAUUUUUCCAGUUUUCUGGGGCAGUGCUGCGAUAAUGAAAACGUUCAAUACCUGCAUUUUGACGGUAGCCACUAGCCACAUGUGGCUCUUGAGCACUUGAACAACUGAGGAACUGAAUUUAUCUUGUUUAGUUUUAAGUAAUUCAAAUGCAAAUUUAAAUAGCCACUUGUGGCUAGUGACUCCAGUAUUGGCUAGCAUAAUUCUAAAGAGUCAUCAUACACGUUUCCUACAAUGGAUGCAUAUUAUUGUAUCUAUAUCUUGGUUUAUUUUACCGUUUCUCUGUCCUCGAACCUUCAAAAGGCUUUUUGUUUCUGCUAUUGCAGCAAAUAUAGCAUUAUGUACAGUUACAU